CUGCGAUAAGCGCCGGUAAGGUGAUAUGAACCGUUAUAACCGGCGAUACCCGAAUGGGGAAACCCAGUGUGACUCGUCACACUAUCAUUAACUGAAUCCAUAGGUUAAUGAGGCGAACCGGGGGAACUGAAACAUCUAAGUACCCCGAGGAAAAGAAAUCAACCGAGAUUCCCCCAGUAGCGGCGAGCGAACGGGGAGGAGCCCAGAGCCUGAAUCAGCAUGUGUGUUAGUGGAAGCGUCUGGAAAGGCGCGCGAUACAGGGUGACAGCCCCGUACACAAAAGCGCAUGUGCUGUGAGCUCGAUGAGUAGGGCGGGACACGUGGUAUCCUGUCUGAAUAUGGGGGGACCAUCCUCCAAGGCUAAAUACUCCUGACUGACCGAUAGUGAACCAGUACCGUGAGGGAAAGGCGAAAAGAACCCCGGCGAGGGGAGUGAAAAAGAACCUGAAACCGUGUACGUACAAGCAGUGGGAGCACAGGUUUACCUGUGUGACUGCGUACCUUUUGUAUAAUGGGUCAGCGACUUAUAUUCUGUAGCAAGGUUAACCGAAUAGGGGAGCCGGAGGGAAACCGAGUCUUAAUUGGGCGUUAAGUUGCAGGGUAUAGACCCGAAACCCGGUGAUCUAGCCAUGGGCAGGUUGAAGGUUGGGUAACACUAACUGGAGGACCGAACCGACUAAUGUUGAAAAAUUAGCGGAUGACCUGUGGCUGGGGGUGAAAGGCCAAUCAAACCGGGAGAUAGCUGGUUCUCCCCGAAAGCUAUUUAGGUAGCGCCUCGUGAAUUCAUCUCCGGGGGUAGAGCACUGUUUCGGCUAGGGGGCCAUCCCGGCUUACCAACCCGAUGCAAACUGCGAAUACCGGAGAAUGUUAUCACGGGAGACACACGGCGGGUGCUAACGUCCGUCGUGAAGAGGGAAACAACCCAGACCGCCAGCUAAGGUCCCAAAGUCAUGGUUAAGUGGGAAACGAUGUGGGAAGGCCCAGACAGCCAGGAUGUUGGCUUAGAAGCAGCCAUCAUUUAAAGAAAGCGUAAUAGCUCACUGGUCGAGUCGGCCUGCGCGGAAGAUGUAACGGGGCUAAACCAUGCACCGAAGCUGCGGCAGCGACACUGUGUGUUGUUGGGUAGGGGAGCGUUCUGUAAGCCUGUGAAGGUGUGUCGUGAGGC
RNAcentral lists this ribosomal RNA (1165 nucleotides) under Salmonella enterica subsp. enterica serovar Enteritidis. RNAcentral's name for it is "partial 23S ribosomal RNA". It matches the Rfam family "Bacterial large subunit ribosomal RNA", at positions 66 to 1269 of the family's 2925-position model. The record is from RNAcentral. Lineage: Bacteria; Pseudomonadati; Pseudomonadota; Gammaproteobacteria; Enterobacterales; Enterobacteriaceae.